This 441-nucleotide ribosomal RNA is filed under the name uncultured bacterium. RNAcentral's name for it is "partial 16S ribosomal RNA". It matches the Rfam family "Bacterial small subunit ribosomal RNA", at positions 338 to 795 of the family's 1533-position model. The record is from RNAcentral.
CCUACGGGUGGCAGCAGUGGGGGAUAUUGCACAAUGGGGGGAACCCUGAUGCAGCGACGCCGCGUGGGUGAAGGAGUGCUUCGGCAUGUAAAGCCCUAUCGGCAGGGAAGAAGCAAGACGGUACCUGAAGAAGAAGCCCCGGCUAACUACGUGCCAGCAGCCGCGGUAAUACGUAGGGGGCAAGCGUUAUCCGGAUUUACUGGGUGUAAAGGGGGCGCAGACGGCGAUGCAAGCCAGGAGUGAACGCCCGGGGCCCAACCCCGGGACUGCUCUUGGAACUGCGUGGCUGGAGUGCAGGAGGGGCAGGCGGAAUUCCUGGUGUAGCGGUGAAAUGCGUAGAUAUCAGGAGGAACCCCGGUGGCGAAGGCGGCCUGCUGGACUGCAACUGACGUUGAGGCCCGAAAGCGUGGGGAGCAAACAGGAUUAGAUACCCUGGUAGUC